Molecule: long non-coding RNA, 1380 nt
Organism: Lagopus muta (rock ptarmigan)
Lineage: Eukaryota; Metazoa; Chordata; Aves; Galliformes; Phasianidae
Exons: 10
Source: RefSeq, a predicted model, not a curated record
CCUGGGUUCCUGCUGCCUUGGAAGCAUUCAGGAGGUCCCAGCAAGAAGUCGCACUGUAUUUUUCUCCAUUGCUCCCUGUGGAGUUCAUGUGUUCAGCCUUCUUUCUAAUGAUGGCAAUAAGCAGCUGUCAGCUAUUAUCUGAUGAUGUGAGGUGCUGAUAGGAGAAAUAAACUCAUCGCUCUUACUGGUGCCAAAUUUUCUAAAGCAGAACAUCCUCCACUCUGCUUUGAGUGCAGUCUGUUGCAACAAUUCUUCUGGAGCUACAUGCAAGAUUGCAGUGUAUCAGAAGUUAUCAACUGAUGAGCAACGUGACUUAUCAACACUAUAGUGGUUGUGCUUUGACAGUGCUUCUUCACAGAUCUGCCUGUUUGUGUUAUAGAAGUUUCAGUCUUCCAGUUGGAGAGGAGUGACACAGAUAUUUAAGACACAUGCAGCUUAGAUGUAGCACAUUGUAAUAAAGUGUUGCCUUGCCAGGCAAAUGUUUGAGAAUGAUGAAUUCUGUAGUACAUGAGAAGGGGUCAGAUGCUGCAUUGAGUAUCUUCUGUGGGAAAGGGAAUGCUGAACUUCAGCUCAGUAUAUCACUGCAGAAGCUGUGCCCGGCCAUGGGAGAUGACAAGCAGUUGCUACCAGCCAAGCUUCAGAUCAGGAGAAAAGAACCUUUUCCAUUACAUUCCAGAAAAUUGUGAAAGAUGUGGAAAUCAGAUCACUGCUUGGAAAUCUGUACUUCUACAAGGAGUUAUGUGAAGUCCUACUGGUUCUCACUACAAUGAAGUACUCGGGACACUUUUUUUGAGCCUACUACUACAGUCGUCACAAAGACAGUGCCUACUCCAAGGAGAUUCUAGCCCUUCUUCGUGAAGGUGAGAAGUACUACUGCAGGGGCAUCACGUGAGUGGUGAACUUCAGGUGCCAGAACUGCCACACAGUGAAUGACCACCACCUGCUUACUGUGUGCACAGUCAGGAGCCGGCAGGAGAAGAGAAAGGAAUGCAGAUUGUCACAGAGGUCUCCAUCAGGAAAUAAUCCUUAUCUUCAAGUCCUACCAUCCAAAAUCAGUUAACACUGGUAGUGAAAGACGCGCUUAGCCUGGAUGCUAGAGCGCUAGGAAAAUAUUUCUCAGGUGGUUAACUUGAGUUUGACUUCCAACAUCUCUUUAUUUGGGAAGAAAUGAAUUCAACGGUUCUUUUUAGUGCUUGUGAAAAUGAAGGAUAUUUGUGCUUGCACAACAAGAAAGGUGAUUUAGUCGCUCUAUUUGAUCGGUAUUUUUUUGAGGGAGACUUGCCAAAUUCAUCAGUGUUCAUCUGGAAGCCAAAAUAAAUAUCCAUGUGUUUUGAAGAGCAGAAAUGCUGGAAUGCAGCUGGAAAGUAGCUCAGGGCUCCU